UCCAGACUCCUACGGGAGGCAGCAGUCGGGAAUAUUGCGCAAUGGAGGAAACUCUGACGCAGUGACGCCGCGUAUAGGAAGAAGGUUUUCGGAUUGUAAACUAUUGUCGUUAGGGAAGAUAAAAGACAGUACCUAAGGAGGAAGCUCCGGCUAACUACGUGCCAGCAGCCGCGGUAAUACGUAGGGAGCAAGCGUUAUCCGGAUUUAUUGGGUGUAAAGGGUGCGUAGACGGGAAAUUAAGUUAGUUGUGAAAUCCCUCGGCUCAACUGAGGAACUGCAACUAAAACUGAUUUUCUUGAGUGCAGGAGAGGUAAGUGGAAUUCCUGGUGUAGCGGUGAAAUGCGUAGAUAUCAGGAGGAACACCGGCGGCGAAGGCGGCCUGCUGGACUGAAACUGACGUUGAGGCUCGAAAGCGUGGGGAGCAAACAGGAUUAGAUACCCCCGUAC
Molecule: ribosomal RNA, 447 nt
Filed under: uncultured bacterium
Lineage: Bacteria
Description: bacterial SSU rRNA
Rfam family: Bacterial small subunit ribosomal RNA
Source: RNAcentral